CCUUGGGGCGCAAACCGGAUUAGAUACCCGGGUAGUCCAGGGCGCAAAACGCUGCCUGUUUGAUGUNAGCUGGGCUCCGAGCCCAGCUAGUGUCGGAGCGAAGGUGUUAAGCAGGCUGCCUGGGAAGUACGGUCGCAAGACUGACUACUUAAAGGAAUUGGCGGGGGAGCACAGCAACGGGUGGAGCGUGCGGUUUAAUUGGAUUCAACGCCGGAAACCUCACCGGGGGUGACGGUUACAUGAAGGCCAGGCUGAUGACCUUGCCUGNUUUUCCGAGAGGUGGUGCAUGGCCGCCGUCAGUUCGUACCGUAAGGCGNUCUGUUAAGUCAGACAACGACCGAGACCCUCAUCCCUAAUUGCUACUUGUCUCUCCGGAGGCAAGGCACAUUAGGGAGACCGCUGGCGAUAAGCCAGAGGAAGGCGAGGGCAACGGUAGGUCAGUAUGCCCUGAAUCCCCCGGGCUACACGCGCGCUACAAAGGCCAGGACGAUGGGUUCCGACACCGAAAGGUGAAGGUAAUCCGAAACCUGGUCAUAGUUCGGAUCGAGGGUUGAAACUCACCCUCGUGAAGCUGGNAUUCCGUAGUAAUCGAGGAUUNACACAUNACCGCGGGAAUAGC
This 619-nucleotide ribosomal RNA is filed under the name uncultured archaeon. RNAcentral describes it as "bacterial SSU rRNA". It matches the Rfam family "Archaeal small subunit ribosomal RNA", at positions 710 to 1327 of the family's 1478-position model. The record is from RNAcentral.